Molecule: ribosomal RNA, 457 nt
Filed under: uncultured Rhodocyclaceae bacterium
Lineage: Bacteria; Pseudomonadati; Pseudomonadota; Betaproteobacteria; Rhodocyclales; Rhodocyclaceae
Description: bacterial SSU rRNA
Rfam family: Bacterial small subunit ribosomal RNA
Source: RNAcentral
CGGGGGGCAGCAGUGGGGAAUUUUGGACAAUGGGGGCAACCCUGAUCCAGCCAUGCCGCGUGAGUGAAGAAGGCCUUCGGGUUGUAAAGCUCUUUCAGCAGGAACGAAACGGCGGAUACUAAUACUAUCCGCUAAUGACGGUACCUGAAUAAGAAGCACCGGCUAACUACGUGCCAGCAGCCGCGGUAAUACGUAGGGUGCGAGCGUUAAUCGGAAUUACUGGGCGUAAAGCGUGCGCAGGCGGUUUCGUAAGCCAGAUGUGAAAUCCCCGGGCUUAACCUGGGAACUGCGUUUGGAACUGCGAGGCUAGAGUGUAGCAGAGGGGGGUAGAAUUCCACGUGUAGCAGUGAAAUGCGUAGAGAUGUGGAGGAAUACCGAUGGCGAAGGCAGCCCCCUGGGUUAACACUGACGCUCAUGCACGAAAGCGUGGGGAGCAAACAGGAUUAGAUACCCGUGU